GCUAAAUAGCUAGCUUAAAUACAUAAAUUUCCAUAACAACAUUAAAAACCUAUUCUUGACCAAAACCACAAAAAUAAAACAUUCUUCCGCCCUAGUAUGAGUGACAAAAAAGGUCCCAUAAGCUAUAAAAAAGUACCGCAAGGGAAAGAUGAAAGAGAAAUGAAAUAAACCAUUUAAGCCUAACAAAGCAGAGAUUAAAACUCGUACCUUUUGCAUCAUGAUUUAGCCAGUCAUUCUGAGCAAAGAGCACUUUAGUUCACUACCCCGAAACUAGGUGAGCUACCCCGAGACAGCCUAUUGCAGGGCCAACCCAUCUCUGUGGCAAAAGAGUGGGAAGAUCUCCGGGUAGAGGUGACAGACCUACCGAACCUAGUUAUAGCUGGUUGCCUAAGAAAUGGAUAAAAGUUCAGCCUCACAUUCCCCGAUUCAUAAAAAGUUUAUACUGACCCAAGAACCCGAGAAACACGCGAGAGUUAGUCAGAGGGGGUACAGCCCCUCUGAAAAAGGAUACAACCUUACCAGGAGGUUAAAGAUUAUAUUAAAUAAGAUUCCUGCCUUAGUAGGCCUAAAAGCAGCCAUCUAAACAGAAAGCGUUAAAGCUCAAGCAGACAAAAAUCUAUUAUCUCAAUAAUCUUAUCUUAAACCCCUAAUCAUAUUAGGCCUUUCUAUGCAAACAUAGAAGCGAUACUGCUAAAAUGAGUAACAAGAAGGACACGCCCUUCUCCUAGCCCACGUGUAAGCUAGAUCGGACCCUCCACUAGCCAUUAACGAACCCACUAAAAGAGAGUAGUACGACUAUUAAUGUUGACCAGGAAAAACCCGUAACUUACUAUCGUUAACCCUACACCGGAAGGCCUAUAAGGAAAGACUAAAAGAAGAAAAAGGAACUCGGCAAACACAAGCCUCGCCUGUUUACCAAAAACAUCGCCUCCCGCAAAAAUCAAUGUAUAGGAGGUCUUACCUGCCCAGUGACAAUAAGUUAAACGGCCGCGGUAUUUUGACCGUGCAAAGGUAGCGCAAUCACUUGUCUUUUAAAUGAAGACCUGUAUGAAUGGUGAAACGAGGGCUUAACUGUCUCUCUCCUCUAGUCAGUGAAAUUGAUCUAUCCGUGCAGAAGCGGAUAUACCCCUACAAGACGAGAAGACCCUUUGGAGCUUAAGAUAAAACCCAACUAUGUUAAAAGUCAAAAAAGACUAAACCAAAUAGCCCUGGUUCCUAUCUUCGGUUGGGGCGACCACGGGAGAAAAUAAAGCUCCCAUGAGGAUUGGGGAAAACCCCUAAAACUAAGAGAGACAUCUCUAAGGCACAAAACAUUUGACCACUGAUCCGGCUACACGCCGACCAACGAACCAAGUUACCCUAGGGAUAACAGCGCAAUCCCCUUUCAGAGUCCAUAUCGACAAGGGGGUUU
Molecule: ribosomal RNA, 1411 nt
Filed under: Harttia dissidens
Lineage: Eukaryota; Metazoa; Chordata; Actinopteri; Siluriformes; Loricariidae
Description: partial 16S ribosomal RNA
Rfam family: Bacterial large subunit ribosomal RNA
Source: RNAcentral